UAUUGCUGUUUUGCUUUAUUUCGUCGGUCGCAGAGUUCGCUUCUCAAUUCUCAAUUUUAUUCCUUUUCAUCUUUUCGAACUUUCAUUUUUUUUUGCACUUAUGUGUGUCUUGCACUGCGUCUUCGUGUCAAAGCAGUUGUAAAAAUCAACUUUUCAUAAUGACUGUUGAAGUGUUGAUGGCUGAUUUUUUUCUUCAUUCUUUUCCAAAACGUAGAACUCUUUGGUAGAACGCUAUACCUACUUAUUAUCAACAAGUUGAACAAUUUUCAUGAGCUGCUUUUUGUCUUUGUAUAUUAAAAAUAUUUUAGAUAAUGAUAUAACCUAUGCAAGGUUAAUUUAUAUUACGAACCAGUAUCUUCCAGAGAGCCGAAUUUAGGGCUAAGUUAAUGAAGUGGAAAAAAUAAAGUAUCCAUCUGAAGAGGACACAUUUCUCCAAGAUGCAAACGAUUUAAAUUGGUUAAAAACAAAUUUAAAAUUAAACUCUGGUGGCCAAGGGUCUACAGCAUCAACUGCUCCCUCUGUUUCCUACGACCUGAACUCUAUCGAUGUAUCAUCUUUAAUUCAUGGGUGUUCAAAGGGGAAGCAAUUGAUGGCUUUUUAUGAAAAAAAUCGGUAUCUGCAAAACAUACACAGAGAUGAAAUCAUAAAAAUAAUAGUGGAAGAAGCAAAUUGCAAGGACAAGACAAUCAAACCUUGGAAGUUCAGCGGUCUUGUCGCACAAAUUGUCUCAGUUUUUCCUUCCGAGAGUGAAGUCAAGAGUGUAUUGUCUCACGCGUGCACAUAGAAAGAUAUUUUUAUUAGAUACCUAAAACUCUGAUCAGAUAACUCCCUUCAAGCAAACAAGUCCGACCUCGGUCCGAAUCCGCUCCGCCUCAGGUGGAGCUGAGUCCGACUUCAACUCAGAAACAGGUCCAAAGGCGGCUCAAAUUAGUAUGGAAAUUAUAAUCACCGCGAAGUCGAUUGCAUAUGUAUUGGUGUGGUGAAAAUCUCCAUUCCGAGAAAACGGAGCCGAAGUCGGACCCGAGGCGGAGCAGCGGAAACCUACCAGAAAGAGGAAUAAAAAAGGGAUGACGUUUCGCAUUUGCGACUAAAAAAAGAACAAGAUUUAUUUUUUUUUUCACUGAGACUGUUUUAUUUCUUAUUUUAUUUUGUCAAACGAAAUU
Molecule: long non-coding RNA, 1163 nt
Organism: Episyrphus balteatus (marmalade hoverfly)
Lineage: Eukaryota; Metazoa; Arthropoda; Insecta; Diptera; Syrphidae
Exons: 4
Source: RefSeq, a predicted model, not a curated record